AUUGCGUCGUCCCCCCCCCGGCACCCACGUCCUGAAAGGGCCGCGGGCCUUAGCGUGGGGGGGGCGGAAGUUGGCUUCCCGUGCCGUGUGUUUGCGGCUAGCCUGAAACACGGUUCCCUCGCCGCGGACGUCGCGACAAGUGGUGGUCGUCGAGAUUGUGCGCGAGUUGCGGCGGCAAAGCCGCGUCGAGGAGAGCAUUUGGACCCUGUGCGAGCGAGACGAGUCCUUCACCGAGGGGCGAUUCCAACGAUUGCGACCCCAGGUCAGGC
Molecule: ribosomal RNA, 269 nt
Filed under: Metalepis albiflora
Lineage: Eukaryota; Viridiplantae; Streptophyta; Magnoliopsida; Gentianales; Apocynaceae
Description: partial 26S ribosomal RNA
Source: RNAcentral